CCCGGCGACCGGCGCACGGGUGAGUAACACGUAUGAAACCUGCCCGUAGCAGGGGGAUAAGCGGAAGAAAUUCCGUCUAAUACCGCGUAACAACCCAUGGAGGCAUCUCUGUGGGUUUAAAGGAAGCGAUUCCGGCUACGGAUGGUCAUGCGUCGCAUUAGCUUGCUGGCGGGGUAACGGCCCACCAAGGCGACGAUGCGUAGGGGUUCUGAGAGGAAGGUCCCCCACACUGGUACUGAGACACGGACCAGACUCCUACGGGAGGCAGCAG
Molecule: ribosomal RNA, 271 nt
Filed under: uncultured bacterium
Lineage: Bacteria
Description: partial 16S ribosomal RNA
Rfam family: Bacterial small subunit ribosomal RNA
Source: RNAcentral